RNAcentral lists this transfer RNA (84 nucleotides) under Candidatus Woesearchaeota archaeon. Its description in RNAcentral is "tRNA-Leu". It matches the Rfam family "tRNA". From Rfam's summary of the family: Transfer RNA (tRNA) molecules are approximately 80 nucleotides in length. Their secondary structure includes four short double-helical elements and three loops (D, anti-codon, and T loops). Further hydrogen bonds mediate the characteristic L-shaped molecular structure. tRNAs have two regions of fundamental functional importance: the anti-codon, which is responsible for specific mRNA codon recognition, and the 3' end, to which the tRNAs corresponding amino acid is attached (by aminoacyl-tRNA synthetases). tRNAs cope with the degeneracy of the genetic code in two manners: having more than one tRNA (with a specific anti-codon) for a particular amino acid; and 'wobble' base-pairing, i.e. permitting non-standard base-pairing at the 3rd anti-codon position. The record is from RNAcentral. Lineage: Archaea; Nanobdellati; Candidatus Woesearchaeota.
GCAGGAGUGCCAGAGUGGUCAAAUGGGGAGGACUCAAAAUCCUUCGGCUUAGUGCCUACGCAGGUUCGAACCCUGUCUCCUGCA